This 275-nucleotide unclassified non-coding RNA is filed under the name air metagenome. Its description in RNAcentral is "partial contains small subunit ribosomal RNA, internal transcribed spacer 1, and 5.8S ribosomal RNA". The stretch from base 1 to 46 matches the Rfam family "Eukaryotic small subunit ribosomal RNA", at positions 1786 to 1831 of the family's 1831-position model. The record is from RNAcentral.
AAGUCGUAACAAGGUUUCCGUAGGUGAACCUGCGGAAGGAUCAUUACCGAGAGUGACGGACGCCGGCGGCGCCGUCCUGGGGGCCCCGCCCCCGACCUCUUCAACCCUGUGAAUAUUUGCCCUUGUUGCUUCGGCGAGCGUCGAGGCCUUUCGCGCCUCGGCCCCGGCUCCGGCCGGUGAGCUCUCGCCCGAGGCCCUCUCCAUUCGGCUCUACAGUGACGUCCGAGGAUUUGCAAUCAAUAUCAAAACUUUCAACAACGGAUCUCUUGGUUCUG